This 74-nucleotide transfer RNA is filed under the name Poterioochromonas malhamensis. Its description in RNAcentral is "tRNA-Met". It matches the Rfam family "tRNA". Rfam says of the family: Transfer RNA (tRNA) molecules are approximately 80 nucleotides in length. Their secondary structure includes four short double-helical elements and three loops (D, anti-codon, and T loops). Further hydrogen bonds mediate the characteristic L-shaped molecular structure. tRNAs have two regions of fundamental functional importance: the anti-codon, which is responsible for specific mRNA codon recognition, and the 3' end, to which the tRNAs corresponding amino acid is attached (by aminoacyl-tRNA synthetases). tRNAs cope with the degeneracy of the genetic code in two manners: having more than one tRNA (with a specific anti-codon) for a particular amino acid; and 'wobble' base-pairing, i.e. permitting non-standard base-pairing at the 3rd anti-codon position. The record is from RNAcentral. Lineage: Eukaryota; Synurophyceae; Ochromonadales; Ochromonadaceae. RNAcentral also lists the same sequence under 1 other name.
GGCUUGAUAGCUCAGAUGGUUAGAGCGGAGGACUCAUAAGCCUUAGGACGUUGGUUCAAAUCCAAUUCAAGCUA